Molecule: long non-coding RNA, 1102 nt
Organism: Lathyrus oleraceus (garden pea)
Lineage: Eukaryota; Viridiplantae; Streptophyta; Magnoliopsida; Fabales; Fabaceae
Exons: 2
Source: RefSeq, a predicted model, not a curated record
UUAAUAUCUAAUUAGCAUAGUUUAAGUCCAAACCAAUUCAGUAUGGGCCUCAGAUCCAAUGCCUGGAGGUGGAUUCACUACAGGGAGGUGCAAGGACAAGCUCUGUUUGGGCCUUAAGGAGGUUAGGCCCAAAGUACAUGGAUAAGGAGGAAAACGAAAAGCCUCUCGUCACUCAUCUUCUUCAUGUUCAUUGGCUUUGAGACAGAGGAAGUGAGUUCCGCCGCACCUAACCGCGACGAAGAAACUAACCGCGCCGGUUCUCGCCACCGGCAGUAGUGGUGGUUCUAAAAUGUGAAUCCUAAUUGCGAAUUGAAAACUGAACCUCACGGAGUUACCUUCGGCGACGCGUUCGGCUUCGGCAACUACAGCGUACGGAGGAGAUGGCCCGUGUUCAAUCCGCUCCUCAAUCCUGCUCCUCUCGAUCGAAACGCACACGAUAUCCAAUUACCAGCAACGGCAACGAUGAAACCGAAACGAACGUGAGAUUCCAUAUCCAGGAAUUUUUUCUCGUUUCUAUGCACAGUAGCGAGGUUGCGAGAGUUCCCAUAAAUUGCCUUGAAGAAUCGGCGCGAAUGAAUGGGUGAUGGGAUGAGGGAUUAACAAUUUGAAGAAAAAUGAGAGAGAACUUGAGAGUGUUCUUCGCGGAAGAGAAAAAGGAGAGACUGUUCCACUGUUAGCUCAACCUCUUAUAUAGAAAAUGUGUUGGUAAUUUUCAUGAAUUGGAGCUACCCUGGGUUUACGAUGCCGUUUACGCUUAUAAAGCUACCAUAUUUUUACAUUUUGAUUGCCACUCUGUGUCGUUCAUGGUUUGAUUCACAUUAACUGCUUGCAGCCUACAACUUGCAGCUUGGUUUUGUUAUUGUCCUUAGCUGGCUUGGUUCGCUGUGUAGUGUUUAGAAGUGUUAGUGGAAGACCCCAAUUUUGACUCUAAGAUCCCUCAUGCAAAUUUAUCAUAAGCAUUAGCAUUGGAAUCAUACCCCUUACCAUUCUUUCAUUGGGUUUGUUUUGGUAGAGAUCACCAAGCAUUUUUUGAUUAUAUCAUACUUGUAUUUUAUAAGUUUACUAACUAAAAUACCAAAAAUAUUCCUUUGCAUUUGCCUAA